GUUUUUCGAGAAUGAUUACACGAUGGUACUGAGAUGUUCGAAAAGAAUGAAGAAACUGAGAAUAACCAACAUGUACAACUUGUAACAUAACAGCAACAUACACAACAUAUUCACAACUCAACAAAGCAGCAAAAACGCUUUCACAGAACGAAAAAAGGCCUAUAAAUAAUAAAUACAGAAAAAAAGACAAGUUCAGUAAGUUCAUUAACCUUCAACGCUGACUUCAGCUUGCACAACGAUUGGAUUUGAUGGACGUGCCACAUUGUCUUCUACACGAUUCAUUUCAGACUCAGGUUGGAUUUCAUUUCGUUCUGUUUUCUCAUCCGAAACCUUUGCUGCUUCAGCAAGUCUGGAUUUCGUUUCAGCAGGUUUCGCUUUAGUGAUCGAGGUUUUUGGAGAUUGAGCUGUUGUCUGUGAAGUCUUAACUGGCUUCCCUUUUGAUGCAACGUUAUCUUUAUUGGAUACGAGUGACUUACGUUGUUCCUUGAUCACUUUUGGACUGAAACAUGAUCCUCCACUUUCGGAGCUAUUAGUCAUGGAUGUGGAGUUCUUAGUUCUUCCAAGCUUAGGAGAUAUGGCGCGUGUUGUUGGUAUCUUCUUCAGUUCAACUGUAGGAGGGGGCUCCUUGUAGAAGCAAGGCAUCGGUGUAGCUUUAAAUGUCAAGCUCUUCCUAAACUGCUUUACCUCUGCCUCUUGGUUUUCCUUUGAUUUUGCUAGCAAGUUACUCUUUUCCUCUUCUCGGGCCUGUAUCCUCUCUUCCACCUUUGCCAAGAACUCCUUUCGCUUUUCAGCACGUUCUUCCAAUCUGAAGGAAAAUCCAGCACUGGUACGAGUUGCAUUGGAGGAAGUAGCAGAACGAGCAUCAUCAUCGUCUUUAAGAGGUGACGUAGCUUUAGUAGGUGUAAUCUUUUCAUCGUUUAAUUGUUCAGAAGUCGCUUUCUUUGCAAUUCUACCGGCUGAAGCAGACUUCCCGGACAGCGAUUGACGAAGGCUCGGGAUAGAUCCUGUAGUUGUCCUUCUGCUUGUUGUAGCACUUCCAUUUGGACUUGAACUCUUCACAACUCCAGCAGAUGUACUCUUAGUAGACGGAUUUAAACGAGAAGCUGACGAGACUGUUCCAUUCGAAUGUGAAGCCUCAUGUGUCACCCCAUUUGGUAUCCAAGGUUUAAAAUCCGAUUUCUUUGUACAAGCAUCAAUGCUCUUCCUUGUCAUGUCUGCAUUGGCGCCUCUUGUAGGGAAUGAAAGACUUUUCGCCAUACUUCCCUUUUUCGAACGAGUCAAUGAAGACGUGCCUGUUGAAUUUGCUUGAUCCUUGGCCAUUUUGUUGUUCUUUUUAGUACCACCAACUGAUACCUUAUGUUGAUUCGAUGCUCUACUUUUCGGAACAUCCUCAACAGACAAUUCUUCUUUGGCUACAGAUGAAUUUGGCGUCUCAUCCGCCUUCUCACUAAUGUUCUUUAAAUUCACAUUUUCUUCCUCAGCCACAACAAUCUUUUCCACCUCUACUGGAACUCCAUUUUCAGACUCCAUAUACCAACAAUAUCUUUUUUUUUUUUUUUCUUGUCUUGGAGAUGAUUGGUGGCAAAUUAUGUGAAUUCAAAAUGAUAAUACAAUGGAAU
This 1619-nucleotide unclassified non-coding RNA is filed under the name Hevea brasiliensis (rubber tree). The record is from RNAcentral. Lineage: Eukaryota; Viridiplantae; Streptophyta; Magnoliopsida; Malpighiales; Euphorbiaceae.